GAAAUGCGAUAAGUAAUGUGAAUUGCAGAAUUCAGUGAAUCAUCGAAUCUUUGAACGCACCUUGCGCUCUCUGGUAUUCCGGGGAGCAUGCCUGUUUGAGAAUCGCAAAGCAACACAAAUCAUAUUCUUGUUUUGAAAUAUUUUUCGGAAUAUUUUGG
This 158-nucleotide unclassified non-coding RNA is filed under the name uncultured fungus. RNAcentral describes it as "sequence contains ITS1". The stretch from base 1 to 105 matches the Rfam family "5.8S ribosomal RNA", at positions 50 to 154 of the family's 154-position model. Rfam says of the family: 5.8S ribosomal RNA (5.8S rRNA) is a component of the large subunit of the eukaryotic ribosome. It is transcribed by RNA polymerase I as part of the 45S precursor that also contains 18S and 28S rRNA. Functionally, it is thought that 5.8S rRNA may be involved in ribosome translocation. Lineage: Eukaryota; Fungi. The record is from RNAcentral.